GAUGAACGCUGGCGGCGUGCCUAAUACAUGCAAGUCGAGCGAACGGACGAGAAGCUUGCUUCUCUGAUGUUAGCGGCGGACGGGUGAGUAACACGUGGAUAACCUACCUAUAAGACUGGGAUAACUUCGGGAAACCGGAGCUAAUACCGGCUGAUAUUUUGAACCGCAUGGUUCAAAAGUGAAAGACGGUCUUGCUGUCACUUAUAGAUGGAUCCGCGCUGCAUUAGCUAGUUGGUAAGGUAACGGCUCACCAAGGCAACGAUGCAUAGCCGACCUGAGAGGAUGAUCGGCCACACUGGAACUGAGACACGGUCCAGACUCCUACGGGAGGCAGCAGUAGGGAAUAUUCCGCAAUGGGCGAAAGCCUGACGGAGCAACGCCGCGUGAGUGAUGAAGGUCUUCGGAUCGUAAAACUCUGUUAUUAGGGAAGAACAUAUGUGUAAGUAACUGUGCACAUCUUGACGGUACCUAAUCAGAAAGCCACGGCUAACUACGUG
This 497-nucleotide ribosomal RNA is filed under the name uncultured bacterium. RNAcentral describes it as "partial 16S ribosomal RNA". It matches the Rfam family "Bacterial small subunit ribosomal RNA", at positions 28 to 507 of the family's 1533-position model. The record is from RNAcentral.